Long non-coding RNA from Tyto alba (common barn owl), 3275 nucleotides. RefSeq lists it as uncharacterized. NCBI's taxonomy places the organism in Eukaryota, Metazoa, Chordata, Aves, Strigiformes, Tytonidae. The transcript has 4 exons. The record is from RefSeq and is a predicted model, not a curated record.
UUUUCUCCCCUCCCCGUGUUUUGGCUGCCCCGGCCGUCACGCUGGGCGUGUGGGGACCCUGACACCGAGCACGGCCGGGCCUCGCGCAGCGCCCUGCGGCCCUCCCCGAAGCGCAGCCCCCGUAACGCUCCUCAGCGCCGGCAGGAGGGAGUCUGGGUGGGUGCUGCCUCCCUGGGGCCCGGCGAUCCUAGGAGGGAAGGCUGGUGGAUGCGCAUUGUCCAGAAGCCCGGCAGCAGCAGAGUGCUUCACCCAGCAGAGGAGAUGCCAGAAAAGGGAGUGCGGCAGGGCAGUACUGAUAUGAAUCCAGGUUGAUCAACAAACAGCUCUUGACAGGACCAGAAGGAUACGAUAUGAACUGUGAUACGUACAAGAUGGAGGAAGUACAAUGGAAAAACAAAGAGAUGAAAUCACGAGCUUAGCAAGAGCAUCAUAUGUUCCAGCACAGCCUGAAGGUGCCGCAGCUCCUACCAGAGACCCUCUUUGAGAAACUCUGUCUUUUAUACUUCCUGCACCUCUGCAAGAAGCUCAUGACACACCCUGGCGUCACUGACAUUUAGUAGACCCUCCUUCUCCUCGUGCUUUCACCAAUACAGGAAGGUUGUGCUGUGCCCCACGCUGCCUUCAGACACUCGGGGUGCUCAGGUGCUUCCUCAGCCUGUGCAGCCAAGGGCUGCACACACCGAAACUCGGUAAAACCAAGUGCAUGGGCACGUGAGAAAUUAUGUGUGGUGAAGGGACGAGAGGAAAGACUCUCCUUUGUUGUUAUCUCUCCUGUUCACGGCAGAUCCUGCUUCAUCUGCCAGAGCAUCCACCAGAAGCCAGUGCCAUAGGAAACUGGGAGGAUCCCCAUCUCCUCCACCAGAUCCUUUCUGGGAAGGUGUUCAACUACCACAUGAAAAAUCUCAGUGUGCAGGACUGCCAGUGGCCAGCACCCCUUUGCCCUCCUCCACAUGCUUACAGGAUCCUUUCCAGAUUAUCAGCAGCUCCAGCAAGUGGACUUUCCCACCCCUCUCCCCUCUUUCUGCUUUUGGGUGUUUUUGUGUUACCAUCUGCUGAGUAUCAGCACGCACCAUCUUCCUCAAAAGGUUUUGCACUUUCGCGGUCCCACGCCUUCCCCACCAUCACGUUACUGCAGAAGUUUCAGACCUCAGGAUGUAGCCCUGGGAGGACCUGCAGCACUGUCAGCUCUGGUCCCUGCCUCAACAGGGAGUCACUUCAUCCAGUCCUGCUCCUAAAGGAUCAGUUGCCAUCCGAACCCGUGGCUUUUGUUUCAUUGCUGUCAUAGGUGGGCCCCGGCUCUUGGGACAGGCUCCUCUAGCAGGUAGAAUCAUCACCAGCUCCUCAUGAACUUGCUUUCCUUCCAAGGUGACUCAAAAGUAUUCACUUUGGCAUCUUGUCCUCUGCAUCUUCUUCUUACAGUAUGUCAAGGCUGUUACUGGGACAGUUUGCUGUUCCAGCUGGGACAGAUGGAAAAAUAAAGCAUCACAGGAUGGACCCCAGACAGAGCUUACGGUCCCUGGCAGGUUCAAAAGCACCCGGCCCUCUGGGGUUAUCCUGGAGUUGGGUGUGCAGGUCACCUGCUCGGUGCUGGAGGAAGGUGCAACAGCUCAGGAAGGACCCGAAGGAGCCAGUUCACUGCACUGGGACCUUCUGAAACCAGCCAGAAAGACCAGGCUGGUGGAAGAGGGAGAACACAAGCCGGGCAGUGUUUAUGUGCCUGGGAGACACCUGAACAGGCCCUAUUCUGCUUCUGCAAAUUGAAGUAAAUGAAAACCUAUGCUACUUACGUUGCAUUUAGGCUAAUUUAGAGGGAGUGUAUUUACUCUGCAUCAGACAACUAUGUCUAUUACAGAAGGCAUCUGUGGCAGGCAGCCCCUGUCUGGCUGCCAUGAAUCACUGUCCUUUUCCAGGUAAUCUGAUCAGGGUCUUACUCAAUUAUCUGGCCAUUAUACAGGAUACAUAUUACAAGGAGCAGAUAAGUUGUGUUAAAUGAGUUGAUCCAUUAGGUCAACACCAGCACCUCAGCCCUGCUGCUCAAACAGCCUUCAGGGGCAGAACCCAGCUCGCUGCAAGUAGCUUCAGCCAGCGUCCAAGCAGAAAUCUUUUUGUGAAUAAUGCCUUUCUAAAGGUUAAAACACUACGACCAGUGGAUGUUCAGUAGUCCGUGGCUCAUGGGAAAAGGAAGCACUUUUCAGUGCUGGAGAGAGCUGAUUUGUUUCCUUCUGACACGGUUUAGCACUGGAAAAUCUGAAGAUUUGGUGUUGUUAAAAAACCCAACAUUAUGAUGGGAUGUUUCUGUUUAAAUUAUUUUCAGAUAAUAUAAUGACUAAUCACAGCCAAAUCGGGUCUUCAGUAGAAUUUGUGUAUCUAUAAAAGUCUGAUGUUAAAACUACUGAUCACUUGCUGCCUUGCCUUUAACACCAACUAAUUCAAGGUGAAGCCAAAUGUUUCACUCCCUAGCUCUCUCAAGCCCAAAUUAAAUACAGCCGAAGUCAAGGCUCCUGUGGAUGGUCUCAGAUCCUGUGUACGUGCCCGUCCACACUUUCAGACCCUCCUCACACAUUGUGCCAGCCCAGCCAUCACUUAAAAACCUUCUCAGUGUUCCCCUCUCAGCCCGCCGGUGCCACUGUGGUUCCAGUCCCAUUCUGGGGCACUUCACGUGCAGGAGGCCAGGGCGUGAAGACUGUCAGCGUUUUUAUCUGGCUUCACAGCAGGUGACCCACACUUUCCUUCGCACGCUCUAAGCACACAUCACUGCCUGUUCAGCACACUCGCUUUUGACUUGGCUCGGUAAGCAGGUGCACCUCACAGCUCUGCAACUAUUUAUGGCUCUGUUUUCCUUUUGUUCGUCAAUUAUCCAAGCAGGUAUGCUGCCUUUAGAGUUUUAUCUUUUAACCACUUCCGCCAAGAAGGACUAGAGAUGAAAGACUUCUCUCAGAUACAGGCAGAAUACCUAGAAAUGGUGGGUGUAAAGCCUUUAAACGUAGGCAUGGUGCUGUCUGUGGGAGCGGUGGGCGUGCAGAGAGAGGCGCGAUCGCCUCAGUUUGCUCUGUGCCACCAGAGAGAGGGGAAGGGGCUGUAAAGCAGCAGCUCCGUGAAUCCCUCCCCAGAUCCACAGCGGCUGAAGCCAAAGACAAUGAGAGAAAGGGGGCAGGCAGACGGUUUGCAGUUUGUUUUCUGCACAUCCUCUCAAGCUUUAUCUUCAAAGUUUUGGUACGUGCCAAGUUCUGUGUUGUCAGAGCCAAUUCAACCAAAUUGUUAUCCUUAAAAAAGAA